RNAcentral lists this ribosomal RNA (938 nucleotides) under uncultured bacterium. RNAcentral describes it as "bacterial SSU rRNA". It matches the Rfam family "Bacterial small subunit ribosomal RNA", at positions 8 to 979 of the family's 1533-position model. The record is from RNAcentral.
AGAGUUUGAUCCUGGCUCAGAAUCAACGCUGGCGGCGCGCCUAACACAUGCAAGUCGAACGAGAAAGCGGGAGCAAUCUCGCAAGUAAAGUGGCGUACGGGUGAGUAACACGUGGAUCAUCUGCCCUGGAGUGUGGAAUAACGCUGGGAAACCGGCGCUAAUACCGCAUAUUCCCGAGAGGGGAAAGCAGCAAUGCGCUCGAGGAGGAGUCCGCGGCCGAUUAGCUAGUUGGCAGGGUAAAAGCCUACCAAGGCUAUGAUCGGUAGCCGGCCUGAGAGGGCACACGGCCACACUGGCACUGAAACACGGGCCAGACUCCUACGGGAGGCAGCAGUGGGGAAUCUUGCACAAUGGGGGAAACCCUGAUGCAGCGACGCCGCGUGAGCGAUGAAGCCCUUCGGGGUGUAAGGCUCUUUCGGCAGGGAAGAUGAUGACGGUACCUGCAGAAGCAGCUGCGGCUAACUACGUGCCAGCAGCCGCGGUAAUACGUAGGCAGCAAGCGUUGUUCGGAGUUACUGGGCGUAAAGGGUGUGUAGGCGGCCUGUUAAGUUCCGUGUGAAAUCUCCCGGCUCAACCGGGAGGGUGCGCGGAACACUGGCGGGCUAGAGUACGGGAUGGGAGAGUAGAAUUCCUGGUGUAGCGGUGAAAUGCGUAGAUAUCAGGAGGAAUACCUGCGGUGUAGACGGCUCUCUGGACCGUAACUGACGCUGAAACACGAAAGCGUGGGUAGCAAACAGGAUUAGAUACCCUGGUAGUCCACGCCCUAAACGAUGCAUAUUUGGUGUAGGUCAUUCAGUUGAUCUGUGCCGGAGCUAACGCGUUAAAUAUGCCGCCUGGGGAGUACAGUCGCAAGGCUGAACUCAAAGGAAUUGACGGGGCCCGCACAAGCGGUGGAGCAUGUGGUUCAAUUCGGCGCAACGCGAAGAACCUUACCUGGG